RNAcentral lists this ribosomal RNA (472 nucleotides) under uncultured bacterium. Its description in RNAcentral is "bacterial SSU rRNA". It matches the Rfam family "Bacterial small subunit ribosomal RNA", at positions 355 to 825 of the family's 1533-position model. The record is from RNAcentral.
UGGGGAAUAUUGGACAAUGGGCGAAAGCCUGAUCCAGCCAUGCCGCGUGUGUGAAGAAGGCCUUCGGGUUGUAAAGCUCUUUCAGACGGAAAGAAACGGUUACGGCUAAUACCCGUGACUAAUGACGGUACCGUAAGAAGAAGCACCGGCUAACUACGUGCCAGCAGCCGCGGUAAUACGUAGGGUGCGAGCGUUAAUCGGAAUUACUGGGCGUAAAGCGUGCGCAGGCGGUUUGGUAAGACAGAUGUGAAAUCCCCGGGCUUAACCUGGGAACUGCAUUUGUGACUGCCAGACUAGAGUGUAGCAGAGGGGGGUAGAAUUCCACGUGUAGCAGUGAAAUGCGUAGAUAUGUGGAGGAAUACCGAUGGCGAAGGCAGCCCCCUGGGCUAACACUGACGCUCAUGCACGAAAGCGUGGGGAGCAAACAGGAUUAGAUACCCCGGUAGUCCCUGAGCGGGCUGGCAAGGCGCAU